UGAUGCGGUAGAGGAGCGUUCUGUAAGCCUGUGAAGGUGAGUUGAGAAGCUUGCUGGAGGUAUCAGAAGUGCGAAUGCUGACAUGAGUAACGACAAUGGGUGUGAAAAACACCCACGCCGAAAGACCAAGGUUUCCUGCGCAACGUUAAUCGACGCAGGGUUAGUCGGUCCCUAAGGCGAGGCUGAAAAGCGUAGUCGAUGGAAAACAGGUUAAUAUUCCUGUACUUCUGGUUAUUGCGAUGGAGGGACGGAGAAGGCUAGGCCAGCUUGGCGUUGGUUGUCCAAGUUUAAGGUGGUAGGCUGGAAUCUUAGGUAAAUCCGGGAUUCUAAGGCCGAGAGCUGAUGACGAGUUAUCUUUUAGAUAACGAAGUGGUUGAUGCCAUGCUUCCAAGAAAAGCUUCUAAGCUUCAGAUAACCAGGAACCGUACCCCAAACCGACACAGGUGGUUGGGUAGAGAAUACCAAGGCGCUUGAGAGAACUCGGGUGAAGGAACUAGGCAAAAUGGCACCGUAACUUCGGGAGAAGGUGCGCCGAUGAGGGUGAAGCAUUUACUGCGUAAGCUCACGUCGGUCGAAGAUACCAGGCCGCUGCGACUGUUUAUUAAAAACACAGCACUCUGCAAACACGAAAGUGGACGUAUAGGGUGUGACGCCUGCCCGGUGCCGGAAGGUUAAUUGAUGGGGUUAGCUAACGCGAAGCUCUUGAUCGAAGCCCCGGUAAACGGCGGCCGUAACUAUAACGGUCCUAAGGUAGCGAAAUUCCUUGUCGGGUAAGUUCCGACCUGCACGAAUGGCGUAACGAUGGCGGCGCUGUCUCCACCCGAGACUCAGUGAAAUUGAAAUCGCUGUGAAGAUGCAGUGUAUCCGCGGCUAGACGGAAAGACCCCGUGAACCUUUACUAUAGCUUUGCACUGGACUUUGAAUUUGCUUGUGUAGGAUAGGUGGGAGGCUUUGAAGCGUGAACGCCAGUUUGCGUGGAGCCAUCCUUGAAAUACCACCCUGGCAACUUUGAGGUUCUAACUCAGGUCCGUUAUCCGGAUCGAGGACAGUGUAUGGUGGGUAGUUUGACUGGGGCGGUCUCCUCCUAAAGAGUAACGGAGGAGUACGAAGGUGCGCUCAGACCGGUCGGAAAUCGGUCGUAGAGUAUAAAGGCAAAAGCGCGCUUGACUGCGAGACAGACACGUCGAGCAGGUACGAAAGUAGGUCUUAGUGAUCCGGUGGUUCUGUAUGGAAGGGCCAUCGCUCAACGGAUAAAAGGUACUCCGGGGAUAACAGGCUGAUACCGCCCAAGAGUUCAUAUCGACGGCGGUGUUUGGCACCUCGAUGUCGGCUCAUCACAUCCUGGGGCUGAAGCCGGUCCCAAGGGUAUGGCUGUUCGCCAUUUAAAGUGGUACGCGAGCUGGGUUUAGAACGUCGUGAGACAGUUCGGUCCCUAUCUGCCGUGGACGUUUGAGAUUUGAGAGGGGCUGCUCCUAGUACGAGAGGACCGGAGUGGACGAACCUCUGGUGUUCCGGUUGUCACGCCAGUGGCAUUGCCGGGUAGCUAUGUUCGGGAAAGAUAACCGCUGAAAGCAUCUAAGCGGGAAACUUGCCUCAAGAUGAGAUCUCACUGGAACCUUGAGUUCCCUAAAGGGCCGUCGAAGACUACGACGUUGAUAGGUUGGGUGUGUAAGCGCUGUGAGGCGUUGAGCUAACCAAUACUAAUUGCCCGUGAGGCUUGACCAUAUAACACCCAAGCAAUU
This 1742-nucleotide ribosomal RNA is filed under the name Pseudomonas helleri. RNAcentral's name for it is "partial 23S ribosomal RNA". It matches the Rfam family "Bacterial large subunit ribosomal RNA", at positions 1221 to 2925 of the family's 2925-position model. Lineage: Bacteria; Pseudomonadati; Pseudomonadota; Gammaproteobacteria; Pseudomonadales; Pseudomonadaceae. The record is from RNAcentral.